GACGAACGCUGGCGGCGUGCUUAACACAUGCAAGUCGAGCGAGUGAGUUCUUCGGAACGAUCUAGCGGCGGACGGGUGAGUAACACGUGGGCAACCUGCCUCAUAGAGGGGAAUAGCCUCCCGAAAGGGAGAUUAAUACCGCAUAAAAUUAUCGAGUGGCAUCACAUGAUAAUCAAAGGAGUAAUCCGCUAUGAGAUGGGCCCGCGGCGCAUUAGCUAGUUGGUGAGGUAACGGCUCACCAAGGCGACGAUGCGUAGCCGACCUGAGAGGGUGAUCGGCCACAUUGGGACUGAGACACGGCCCAGACUCCUACGGGAGGCAGCAGUGGGGAAUAUUGCACAAUGGGGGAAACCCUGAUGCAGCAACGCCGCGUGAGUGAUGAAGAUCUUCGGAUUGUAAAGCUCUGUCUUUGGGGACGAUAAUGACGGUACCCAAGGAGGAAGCCACGGCUAACUACGUGCCAGCCGCCGCGGUAA
This 476-nucleotide ribosomal RNA is filed under the name uncultured bacterium. RNAcentral describes it as "partial 16S ribosomal RNA". It matches the Rfam family "Bacterial small subunit ribosomal RNA", at positions 28 to 523 of the family's 1533-position model. The record is from RNAcentral.